ACUGGGUCCUGAAUCGGCUGCGUGCUGUUCUAGGUGGGGACUUGAGAGACUGUAGAUGGGUCUAGGGAGUGGUCGAAUAUAAAUAAGCUAGAUUUUUUUUUUUUUAAUUGCAAGGGAACUCCCUAGGAAUUCCAUCCAUGGCCUUGUGGAACGAUCUGCCAAAGAAAAAAUAUUUAUCUCUGUAGGUAAACUCCCAAUAACGUGCUGUUCCUACGUGAAAUGCUUAAUUCCCCCCAAGUUUCUUGGAACCCUCUAGAGAUCUCCAGUCUUUUCAGUCUUUCAGGCCUUCUGAGUUCUCUGACUCCCCUUCUCUGAGCCCCAGUGGGGAAAAUCUCUCCUCAGCUUACAGGAAAUUCAGACUAGUUUGAUGAAGGUGAAGUUGAAGGUCCCCUGUGUGAUUUUUGGCAAGGUUUUUAUUUCCGGGAGAAAUGUAUGUUUCUCAGAUAAGCAUGGCAGAUUCAAUCAAUAAUGUUAAAUAAAUAAGUAAAGAUAAAUUGUGAUGUUCUUAGGGAGAAACCAUUUAAUAGGCAAUUACUAAACAAAUGUACCCAGUGUGACAAAGUGCCUCAGUUUAGAUUUAAGCAUCCACCAGAUCGCCAUGUGUGUUGUUUCUCAUUGCCCCAACAUGACGACAUGGGCAAAAGGAGAAUAUCCAGCUACUGUGAAGGAAUCAAAUGCAGUCUAUUUUUAUAAUGCUAAUAGGUCUUUUGUUGUUCAAAAGUAGUGGCAUUAUCAUGGCUCACUGCAGCCUCUAACUCUUGGGCUAAAUAAAGCAAUCCUCCUGCUUCAGCCUCCCGAAUAACUGGGACUACAGGCAUCCAUCACCACGCCCGGCUAAUUUUUGUAUUUUUUGCAGACAUGGAGUCUUGCUUUGUUGCCCAAGGUGAUCUUGAACUCUGAUAAUCUUUUAAUUUUUAGGCUGGGUUGUGAGAUCAAGAGGAUAUAGUUUAUUAUUAUGCUUCAUAACUUACUUUGUGAUAGGUGGUAAGAAGAAAAACAUUAAACUCAGAAGGGAGAGAUAAAGCGUGGGUGUGUGGGGGAGGAAGGAGUGGUCUGUGUAUGUGAAAUUUUCACUAGGAUGACCACAGGCCUCCUU
This 1096-nucleotide long non-coding RNA is filed under the name Homo sapiens (human). RNAcentral describes it as "non-protein coding lnc-C17orf58-8:6". The record is from RNAcentral. Lineage: Eukaryota; Metazoa; Chordata; Mammalia; Primates; Hominidae.